GAUGAACGCUGGCGGCGUGCCUAAUACAUGCAAGUCGAGCGAACGGACGAGAAGCUUGCUUCUCUGAUGUUAGCGGCGGACGGGUGAGUAACACGUGGAUAACCUACCUAUAAGACUGGGAUAACUUCGGGAAACCGUAGCUAAUACCGGAUAAUAUUUUGAACCGCAUGGUUCAAAAGUGAAAGACGGUCUUGCUGUCACUUAUAGAUGGAUCCGCGCUGCAUUAGCUAGUUGGUAAGGUAACGGCUUACCAAGGCAACGAUGCAUAGCCGACCUGAGAGGGUGAUCGGCCACACUGGAACUGAGACACGGUCCAGACUCCUACGGGAGGCAGCAGUAGGGAAUCUUCCGCAAUGGGCGAAAGCCUGACGGAGCAGCGCCGCGUGAGUGAUGAAGGUCUUCGGAUCGUAAAACUCUGUUAUUAGGGAAGAACAUAUGUGUACGUAACUGUGCACAUCUUGACGGUACCUAAUCAGAAAGCCACGGCUAACUACGUG
RNAcentral lists this ribosomal RNA (497 nucleotides) under uncultured bacterium. Its description in RNAcentral is "partial 16S ribosomal RNA". It matches the Rfam family "Bacterial small subunit ribosomal RNA", at positions 28 to 507 of the family's 1533-position model. The record is from RNAcentral.